AAAACUUUCAACAACGGAUCUCUUGGUUCUGGCAUCGAUGAAGAACGCAGCGAAAUGCGAUAAGUAAUGUGAAUUGCAGAAUUCAGUGAAUCAUCGAAUCUUUGAACGCACAUUGCGCCCGCCAGUAUUCUGGCGGGCAUGCCUGUUCG
This 149-nucleotide ribosomal RNA is filed under the name Calonectria insularis. Its description in RNAcentral is "5.8S ribosomal RNA". It matches the Rfam family "5.8S ribosomal RNA". Rfam says of the family: 5.8S ribosomal RNA (5.8S rRNA) is a component of the large subunit of the eukaryotic ribosome. It is transcribed by RNA polymerase I as part of the 45S precursor that also contains 18S and 28S rRNA. Lineage: Eukaryota; Fungi; Ascomycota; Sordariomycetes; Hypocreales; Nectriaceae. The record is from RNAcentral.